AGCGAACGCUGGCGGCAGGCUUAACACAUGCAAGUCGAGCGCCCCGCAAGGGGAGUGGCAGACGGGUGAGUAACACGUGGGAACGUGCCUUUUGGUUCGGAACAACCCAGGGAAACUUGGGCUAAUACCGGAUAAGCCCUUAGGGGGAAAGAUUUAUCGCCAAAAGAUCGGCCCGCGUCUGAUUAGCUAGUUGGUGGGGUAAUGGCCCACCAAGGCUACGAUCAGUAGCUGGUCUGAGAGGAGGAUCAGCCACAUUGGGACUGAGACACGGCCCAAACUCCUACGGGAGGCAGCAGUGGGGAAUAUUGGACAAUGGGGGCAACCCUGAUCCAGCCAUGCCGCGUGAGUGAUGAAGGCCUUAGGGUUGUAAAGCUCUUUUAGCAGGGAAGAUAAUGACGGUACCUGCAGAAAAAGCCCCGGCUAACUUCGUGCCAGCCGCCGCGGUAA
RNAcentral lists this ribosomal RNA (447 nucleotides) under uncultured bacterium. Its description in RNAcentral is "partial 16S ribosomal RNA". It matches the Rfam family "Bacterial small subunit ribosomal RNA", at positions 29 to 523 of the family's 1533-position model. The record is from RNAcentral.